RNAcentral lists this ribosomal RNA (536 nucleotides) under Marinobacter lutaoensis. RNAcentral's name for it is "partial 23S ribosomal RNA". It matches the Rfam family "Bacterial large subunit ribosomal RNA", at positions 2407 to 2925 of the family's 2925-position model. Lineage: Bacteria; Pseudomonadati; Pseudomonadota; Gammaproteobacteria; Pseudomonadales; Marinobacteraceae. The record is from RNAcentral.
AGGUCAUAGUGAUCCGGUGGUUCUGUAUGGAAGGGCCAUCGCUCAACGGAUAAAAGGUACUCCGGGGAUAACAGGCUGAUACCGCCCAAGAGUUCACAUCGACGGCGGUGUUUGGCACCUCGAUGUCGGCUCAUCACAUCCUGGGGCUGAAGCCGGUCCCAAGGGUAUGGCUGUUCGCCAUUUAAAGUGGUACGCGAGCUGGGUUUAGAACGUCGUGAGACAGUUCGGUCCCUAUCUGCCGUGGACGUUGGAGAUUUGAGGAAAGCUGCUCCUAGUACGAGAGGACCGGAGUGGACGAACCUCUGGUGUUCCGGUUGUCACGCCAGUGGCACUGCCGGGUAGCUAUGUUCGGACGGGAUAACCGCUGAAAGCAUCUAAGCGGGAAGCCCCUUCCAAGAUGAGAUCUCCCUGGACCCUCGAGGUCCCUGAAGAGCCGUUCAAGACCAGGACGUGGAUAGGCCGGGUGUGUAAGCGCUGUGAGGCGUUGAGCUAACCGGUACUAAUGGCUCGUGAGGCUUGACUAUAUAACGCCCAAG